Molecule: ribosomal RNA, 465 nt
Filed under: Vreelandella stevensii
Lineage: Bacteria; Pseudomonadati; Pseudomonadota; Gammaproteobacteria; Oceanospirillales; Halomonadaceae
Description: partial 16S ribosomal RNA
Rfam family: Bacterial small subunit ribosomal RNA
Source: RNAcentral
CCUACGGGAGGCUGCAGUGGGGAAUAUUGGACAAUGGGGGCAACCCUGAUCCAGCCAUGCCGCGUGUGUGAAGAAGGCCAUCGGGUUGUAAAGAACUUUCAGUGAGGAAGAACGCCUGGUGGUUAAUACCCAUCAGGAAAGACAUCACUCACAGAAGAAGCACCGGCUAACUCCGUGCCAGCAGCCGCGGUAAUACGGAGGGUGCGAGCGUUAAUCGGAAUUACUGGGCGUAAAGCGCGCGUAGGUGGCUUGAUAAGCCGGUUGUGAAAGCCCCGGGCUCAACCUGGGAACGGCAUCCGGAACUGUCAAGCUAGAGUGCAGGAGAGGAAGGUGGAAUUCCCGGUUUAGCGGUGAAAUGCGUAGAGAUCGGGAGGAAUACCAGUGGCGAAGGCGGCCUUCUGGACUAACACUGACACUGAGGUGCGAAAGCGUGGGUAGCAAACAGGAUUAGAUACCCUAGUAGUC